AUUGAACGCUGGCGGCAGGCCUAACACAUGCAAGUCGAGCGGAUGAAGGGAGCUUGCUCCUGGAUUCAGCGGCGGACGGGUGAGUAAUGCCUAGGAAUCUGCCUGGUAGUGGGGGAUAACGUCCGGAAACGGGCGCUAAUACCGCAUACGUCCUGAGGGAGAAAGUGGGGGAUCUUCGGACCUCACGCUAUCAGAUGAGCCUAGGUCGGAUUAGCUAGUUGGUGGGGUAAAGGCCUACCAAGGCGACGAUCCGUAACUGGUCUGAGAGGAUGAUCAGUCACACUGGAACUGAGACACGGUCCAGACUCCUACGGGAGGCAGCAGUGGGGAAUAUUGGGCAAUGGGCGCAAGCCUGAUCCAGCCAUGCCGCGUGUGUGAAGAAGGUCUUCGGAUUGUAAAGCACUUUAAGUUGGGAGGAAGGGCAGUAAGUUAAUACCUUGCUGUUUUGACGUUACCAACAGAAUAAGCACCGGCUAACUUCGUG
This 484-nucleotide ribosomal RNA is filed under the name uncultured bacterium. Its description in RNAcentral is "partial 16S ribosomal RNA". It matches the Rfam family "Bacterial small subunit ribosomal RNA", at positions 30 to 507 of the family's 1533-position model. The record is from RNAcentral.